Molecule: ribosomal RNA, 226 nt
Filed under: uncultured bacterium
Lineage: Bacteria
Description: partial 16S ribosomal RNA
Rfam family: Bacterial small subunit ribosomal RNA
Source: RNAcentral
UACGUAGGGUGCGAGCGUUGUCCGGAAUUAUUGGGCGUAAAGAGCUUGUAGGCGGUUUGUCGCGUCUGCUGUGAAAAUCCGGGGCUCAACCCCGGACUUGCAGUGGGUACGGGCAGACUAGAGUGCGGUAGGGGUGACUGGAAUUCCGUGGUGUAGCGGUGGAAUGCGCAGAUAUCAGGAGGAACACCGAGUGGCGAAGGCAGAUCUCUGGGCCGUAACUGACGCU